AUUGAACGCUGGCGGCAUGCCUUACACAUGCAAGUCGAACGGCAGCGCGGGGCAACCUGGCGGCGAGUGGCGAACGGGUGAGUAAUAUAUCGGAACAUACCCUAGAGUGGGGGAUAACGUAGCGAAAGUUACGCUAAUACCGCAUACGCACUAAGGUGGAAAGUGGGGGAUCCGCAAGAACCUCAUGCUCAUGGAGUGGCCGAUAUCUGAUUAGCUAGUUGGUGAGGUAAAGGCUCACCAAGGCAACGAUCAGUAGCUGGUUUGAGAGAACGACCAGCCACACUGGAACUGAGACACGGUCCAGACUCCUACGGGAGGCAGCAGUGGGGAAUUUUGGGACAAUGGGCGAAAGCCUGAUCCAGCAAUGCCGCGUGAAGGAUGAAGUAUUUCGGUAUGUAAACUUCGAAAGAAUGGGGUAGAAUAAAUGACGGUACCAUUUAUAAGCUCCGGCUAACUACGUGCCAGCAGCCGCGGUAAU
Molecule: ribosomal RNA, 478 nt
Filed under: uncultured bacterium
Lineage: Bacteria
Description: bacterial SSU rRNA
Rfam family: Bacterial small subunit ribosomal RNA
Source: RNAcentral